Non-coding RNA from Pelodiscus sinensis (Chinese soft-shelled turtle), 715 nucleotides. NCBI's taxonomy places the organism in Eukaryota, Metazoa, Chordata, Testudines, Trionychidae. The record is from RefSeq and is a predicted model, not a curated record.
UGGCAUUGUUUAAUUGAUACUGUUGGCAGGUGAGGUCAUAAAGCAAUGUUGUCAUGAGUGGUGGAUGACUGUAUAAUUCAGUGGCAUUAUAAAGUGAAAGCCAAGCACAGAGACAGUAAUAUUUCCACAUAUUGAUGAGAAGAGACAUCCCCCUCGUGUUCUGGAACUCCUUAAUAGAGGAUUGUUCUAUCUUACAAGGGGAAAGAGACUUAGAAGCAGCAGAGACAAAGUGAGAGUUCAAGCCUUGUUCUUAUGUCUGAUAUAACAACACUACAGGUGGAGCAAGUAAUCGAGGAUAAAGUGCAGAGGAAUUGAUUCAGGAAGCUCUUGUUGUGUGGUGCACCAAGAGACGAACCUGCGCCAUUUUGAAAGGAAUACUUAAGGGAAAUAAAAAUGAGGAAGAAUGACAACUUUCAAAAACUUUUAACAAUGGUGAUCUCACGAUAAGGAAGGAAAUUGAAGAGACGUAGUUCACUCCGUCUGCAGCCUGUGGCGGUCGAGAGAAACUGGCGGGGGCCAGACUACGCACUCACUCAAAAUGGCGCGAAGGCCGCACAUGCGUGGUCCUGCUGGGUACUGCUACUGCAAAAAUCUCCAUUCUACGGUGCUGGGGCAAGCCCAGCACCUACAGUGGAGCACCCACAGGGACAUCACUCUAAGAAGAAUGUAUGUUACACAUUACAGUUUAAACUAACAAGAGCAUAAUAAACACAGU